RNAcentral lists this ribosomal RNA (253 nucleotides) under uncultured bacterium. RNAcentral's name for it is "partial 16S ribosomal RNA". It matches the Rfam family "Bacterial small subunit ribosomal RNA", at positions 524 to 776 of the family's 1533-position model. The record is from RNAcentral.
UACGUAGGGUGCAAGCGUUAAUCGGAAUUACUGGGCGUAAAGAGCUCGUAGGCGGUUUGUUGCGUCGGCUGUGAAAUCCCGAGGCUCAACCUCGGGUCUGCAGUCGAUACGAGCAAACUAGAGUGUUGCAGGGGAGACUGGAAUUCCUGGUGUAGCGGUGAAAUGCGCAGAUAUCAGGAGGAACACCGGUGGCGAAGGCGGGUCUCUGGGCAACAACUGACGCUGAGGAGCGAAAGCAUGGGGAGCGAACAGG